CCUGAAUCGCACGUCAACAUGUGCAAGGUUAUCCUGGUUCUUCUUUUCGUGACUAUGGCAGUAGCAAGGUGGAAUGAACUUGAACCGAAGGUACCGAGAUGCGACCUGGGUCAGAAUCCUUGCGGGUCGAAAGGCAUUGGCGCACAAAAACUGUGGUUCUUUGACAGCUUUCGUAAGACGUGCAUGCAAUCAGGGACAUGCGAGGAGUAUGAUAAACAUGGUUACGAAUAUCGCAAGAAUUGCAGAAAAGCUCAUAAAAAAGCGUGCAAACACCUGAAGAAAGUCCCGCUGGUAGGCUCGUCGGAGUAGGGCGCUCUGCCAAGUUCAUUGUGUGCCACAAAGGAAUUUUAUAAUAAAU
Molecule: long non-coding RNA, 358 nt
Organism: Ornithodoros turicata
Lineage: Eukaryota; Metazoa; Arthropoda; Arachnida; Ixodida; Argasidae
Exons: 3
Source: RefSeq, a predicted model, not a curated record